UGCAAGUCGAGCGGACAGAUGGGAGCUUGCUCCCUGAUGUUAGCGGCGGACGGGUGAGUAACACGUGGGUAACCUGCCUGUAAGACUGGGAUAACUCCGGGAAACCGGGGCUAAUACCGGAUGGUUGUUUGAACCGCAUGGUUCAAACAUAAAAGGUGGCUUCGGCUACCACUUACAGAUGGACCCGCGGCGCAUUAGCUAGUUGGUGAGGUAACGGCUCACCAAGGCAACGAUGCGUAGCCGACCUGAGAGGGUGAUCGGCCACACUGGGACUGAGACACGGCCCAGACUCCUACGGGAGGCAGCAGUAGGGAAUCUUCCGCAAUGGACGAAAGUCUGACGGAGCAACGCCGCGUGAGUGAUGAAGGUUUUCGGAUCGUAAAGCUCUGUUGUUAGGGAAGAACAAGUACCGUUCGAAUAGGGCGGUACCUUGACGGUACCUAACCAGAAAGCCACGGCUAACUACGUGCCAGCAGCCGCGGUAAUACGUAGGUGGCAAGCGUUGUCCGGAAUUAUUGGGCGUAAAGGGCUCGCAGGCGGUUUCUUAAGUCUGAUGUGAAAGCCCCCGGCUCAACCGGGGAGGGUCAUUGGAAACUGGGGAACUUGAGUGCAGAAGAGGAGAGUGGAAUUCCACGUGUAGCGGUGAAAUGCGUAGAGAUGUGGAGGAACACCAGUGGCGAAGGCGACUCUCUGGUCUGUAACUGACGCUGAGGAGCGAAAGCGUGGGGAGCGAACAGGAUUAGAUACCCUGGUAGUCCACGCCGUAAACGAUGAGUGCUAAGUGUUAGGGGGUUUCCGCCCCUUAGUGCUGCAGCUAACGCAUUAAGCACUCCGCCUGGGGAGUACGGUCGCAAGACUGAAACUCAAAGGGAUUUGACGGGGGCCCGCACAAUCGGUGGAGCAUGUGGUUAAUUCGAAGCAACGCGAAAAUCUUACCAGGUCUUGACAUCCUCUGACAUUCUAUAGAUAGGACGUCCCCUUCGGGGGCAGAUCGACUUGUGG
This 1002-nucleotide ribosomal RNA is filed under the name Bacillus tequilensis. Its description in RNAcentral is "bacterial SSU rRNA". It matches the Rfam family "Bacterial small subunit ribosomal RNA", at positions 56 to 1041 of the family's 1533-position model. Lineage: Bacteria; Bacillati; Bacillota; Bacilli; Caryophanales; Bacillaceae. The record is from RNAcentral.